GAUGAACGCUGGCGGCGUGCCUAAUACAUGCAAGUCGAGCGAACAGACGAGGAGCUUGCUCCUCUGACGUUAGCGGCGGACGGGUGAGUAACACGUGGAUAACCUACCUAUAAGACUGGGAUAACUUCGGGAAACCGGAGCUACUACCGGAUAAUAUAUUGAACCGCAUGGUUCAAUAGUGAAAGACGGUUUUGCUGUCACUUAUAGAUGGAUCCGCGCCGCAUUAGCUAGUUGGUAAGGUAACGGCUUACCAAGGCAACGAUGCGUAGCCGACCUGAGAGGGUGGUCGGCCACACUGGAACUGAGACACAGUACAGACUCCUACGGGAGGCAGCAGUAGGGAAUCUUCCGCAAUGGGCGAAAGCCUAACGGAGCAACGCCGCGUGAGUGAUGAAGGUCUUCGGAUCGUAAAACUAUGUUAUUAGGGGAGAACAAAAGUGUAAGUAACUAUGCACGUCUUGACGGUACCUAGUCAGAAAGCCACGGCUAACUACGUG
Molecule: ribosomal RNA, 497 nt
Filed under: uncultured bacterium
Lineage: Bacteria
Description: partial 16S ribosomal RNA
Rfam family: Bacterial small subunit ribosomal RNA
Source: RNAcentral